UACGUAGGGGGCAAGCGUUGUCCGGAUUUAUUGGGCGUAAAGAGCGUGUAGGCGGCUUUACAGGUCCGUUGUGAAAACUCGAGGCUCAACCUCGAGACGCCGGUGGAAACCGUAAGGCUAGAGUCCGGAAGAGGAGAGUGGAAUUCCUGGUGUAGCGGUGAAAUGCGCAGAUAUCAGGAGGAACACCGGUGGCGAAGGCGGCGUCCUGGACCAACUCUGACACUGAUGAGCGAAAGCCAGGGGAGCAAACGGG
Molecule: ribosomal RNA, 253 nt
Filed under: uncultured bacterium
Lineage: Bacteria
Description: partial 16S ribosomal RNA
Rfam family: Bacterial small subunit ribosomal RNA
Source: RNAcentral